UCCCGAGCGUUGUUCGGAUUCAUUGGGCGUAAAGGGUGCGUAGGCGGUCUUCUAAGUUUGAUGUGAAAUCCCGGGGCUCAACCCUGGAAUUGCAUUGAAUACUGGAGGACUAGAGUACCGGAGAGGAAACUGGAAUUUACGGUGUAGCAGUGAAAUGCGUAGAGAUCGUAAGGAAGACCAGUGGCGAAGGCGAGUUUCUGGACGGUAACUGACGCUGAGGCACGAAGGCCAGGGGAGCAAACGGG
RNAcentral lists this ribosomal RNA (245 nucleotides) under uncultured bacterium. RNAcentral describes it as "partial 16S ribosomal RNA". It matches the Rfam family "Bacterial small subunit ribosomal RNA", at positions 532 to 776 of the family's 1533-position model. The record is from RNAcentral.